RNAcentral lists this unclassified non-coding RNA (667 nucleotides) under Ceratitis capitata (Mediterranean fruit fly). RNAcentral's name for it is "uncharacterized LOC105664993, transcript variant X1". The record is from RNAcentral. Lineage: Eukaryota; Metazoa; Arthropoda; Insecta; Diptera; Tephritidae.
CCAGAGCUGCAUGUAAAUAACCGGCUUUAUCAUUUUAUUAAUCUAUGAAAUGACCAUUUUAAAAUUAAAAGUACCUGCAACAAUGAGCUGAUGGGUUCACCAACACACUCACAUGAUUUCGGGCAGCAAUAACACGUAAGCAUUUUUUUUGCUUAUCUUUCUCUUCUGAGUACAGACGAAUUGAAGGAGAAUUCAGUUUUAUUUUAUGUUCUUAUUUUCGAGUAGUACGCCAUUUUCAUCGUUUUCUCCGUAGUAAAUAGCAGAGAACGUAAAAAAGUGAGAAAUAUGGAUAAGAAUCCUUUACAAGCUGUGGGCACCUUAUAUUGUACGGAAAACUCAGUUACUGGAGCAGGUUGACUGGGAUGGAUGCUUCUCACCUUGCAGCAGCAGCGGAUCUCAAAAAUAUUCAACAAAACUUUGCGAGACGUAUUUAUACUUCAAACGAGCCGUCACUAUGACGUAGGCGUUUGUGGAGCUUAGAAGCUGCGUCACCGAGACAUGACACUAUUAAAUUCUUUUGUUUGUGCGGUUUUGCUGAUUUUGAAAACGAAUUUAUUGUUAUACAGUUAUUUCUUUUCUAUGCUAUAUAAACCAUGUACCUGAUCCAUCUAAAAGUAUUGGAAUAAAGAUCGAAUCUUAAUAAUUUUUGUAUGUACGUAUAUAUGUA